RNAcentral lists this ribosomal RNA (506 nucleotides) under uncultured bacterium. RNAcentral describes it as "partial 16S ribosomal RNA". It matches the Rfam family "Bacterial small subunit ribosomal RNA", at positions 28 to 507 of the family's 1533-position model. The record is from RNAcentral.
GACGAACGCUGGCGGCGUGCUUAACACAUGCAAGUCGAACGGUGAAGGGACUGGUUUUGCUGGUCCUGGAUGAGUGGCGAACGGGUGAGUAACACGUGAGUAACCUGCCCCCUUCUUCUGGAUAACCGCAUGAAAGUGUGGCUAAUACGGGAUAUUCUGGGUCUGUCGCAUGGUGGGCCUGGGAAAGAUUGCGCCUUUUUUGGUGUUUUUGGUGGGGGAUGGGCUCGCGGCCUAUCAGCUUGUUGGUGGGGUGAUGGCCUACCAAGGCGGUGACGGGUAGCCGGCCUGAGAGGGUGGACGGUCACACGGGGACUGAGACACGGCCCAGACUCCUACGGGAGGCAGCAGUGGGGAAUAUUGCACGAUGGGCGCAAGCCUGAUGCAGCGACGCCGCGUGAGGGAUGGAGGCCUGCGGGUUGUGAACCUCUUUCGCCAGUGAAGCAGGCCUGCCUCUUUGUGUGGGUGGGUUGACGGUAGCUGGAUAAGAAGCGCCGGCUAACUACGUG